RNAcentral lists this ribosomal RNA (253 nucleotides) under uncultured bacterium. RNAcentral describes it as "partial 16S ribosomal RNA". It matches the Rfam family "Bacterial small subunit ribosomal RNA", at positions 524 to 776 of the family's 1533-position model. The record is from RNAcentral.
GACGGAGGGUGCAAGCGUUGUUCGGAAUUACUGGGCGUAAAGCGCGGGCAGGUGGCCUUUUAAGUCCUUUGUGAAAUUCCGGAGCUCAACUCCGGAUGUGCAUAGGAUACUGGAAGGCUAGAGACUGGUAGAGGCGAGCGGAAUUCCUGGUGUAGCGGUGGAAUGCGUAGAUAUCAGGAGGAACACCGGUGGCGAAAGCGCUCAUCUGGCCCGAUACUGACGCUGAGGCGCGAAAGCUAGGGGAGCAAACGGG